This 253-nucleotide ribosomal RNA is filed under the name uncultured bacterium. RNAcentral describes it as "partial 16S ribosomal RNA". It matches the Rfam family "Bacterial small subunit ribosomal RNA", at positions 524 to 776 of the family's 1533-position model. The record is from RNAcentral.
UACGUAGGGUGCAAGCGUUGUCCGGAAUUAUUGGGCGUAAAGAGCUCGUAGGCGGUCUGUCGCGUCUGCUGUGAAAACUCAGGGCUUAACCCUGAGCUUGCAGUGGGUACGGGCAGACUAGAGUGCGGUAGGGGAGACUGGAAUUCCUGGUGUAGCGGUGAAAUGCGCAGAUAUCGGGAAGAACACCCGUGGCUAAGGCGGCUCUCUAGUACGGUACUGACGCUGAGACGCGAAAGCGUGGGGAGCGAACAGG